RNAcentral lists this ribosomal RNA (480 nucleotides) under uncultured bacterium. RNAcentral's name for it is "partial 16S ribosomal RNA". It matches the Rfam family "Bacterial small subunit ribosomal RNA", at positions 28 to 507 of the family's 1533-position model. The record is from RNAcentral.
GACGAACGCUGGCGGCGUGCUUAACACAUGCAAGUCGAACGAUGAAGAAAAGAAUUGAAUCUUCGGCAGAAAUUCAUUUCGGAUUAUUGGCAGACGGGUGAGUAACGCGUGAGCAACCUACCUCUUACAAAAGGAUAGCCUCUGGAAACCGGGAUUAAUACCAUAUAACAUUUCGACUAAGCAUUUCAAUUCAAUCAAAGCUACGGCGGUAAGAGAUGGGCUCGCGUCCCAUUAACCAAAUGGUGAGGUAACGGCUCACCAUAGUAACGCUGGGUAACCGGCAUGAGAGCGUGAACGGUCACACUGGAACAGAGACACGGUCCAGAUUCCUACGGGAGGAAGCAGUGGGGAAUAUUGAACAAUGGAGGGAACUCUGAGGCAGCGACGCCGCGUGAGUGAUGAAGGAAAUCGUUUCGUAAAACUCUGUUCUAUGGGAAGAAAAGGACUGUACCAUAGGAGAAAGCGACGGCUAAAUACGUG